GACGAACCGUGCGAACGUUAUUCGGAAUCACUGGGCUUAAAGCGCGUGUAGGCGGGAGGCCAAGUCUGCGGUGAAAUCGCUCGGCUCAACUGGGCGGGGUCCGUGGAAACUGGUCACCUGGAGGACGGUAGAGGCGAGUGGAAUUCCCGGUGUAGUGGUGAAAUGCGUAGAGAUCGGGAGGAACACCAGUGGCGAAGGCGGCUCGCUGGGCCGGACCUGACGCUGAGACGCGAAGGCGUGGGGAGCGAACGGG
Molecule: ribosomal RNA, 253 nt
Filed under: uncultured bacterium
Lineage: Bacteria
Description: partial 16S ribosomal RNA
Rfam family: Bacterial small subunit ribosomal RNA
Source: RNAcentral